This 612-nucleotide ribosomal RNA is filed under the name uncultured bacterium. RNAcentral describes it as "bacterial SSU rRNA". It matches the Rfam family "Bacterial small subunit ribosomal RNA", at positions 240 to 892 of the family's 1533-position model. The record is from RNAcentral.
AUUAGCUAGUUGGUAGGGUAAAGGCCUACCAAGGCGACGAUCUAUAGCUGGUCUGAGAGGACGAUCAGCCACACUGGGACUGAGACACGGCCCAGACUCCUACGGGAGGCAGCAGUGGGGAAUAUUGGACAAUGGGCGCAAGCCUGAUCCAGCAAUACCGCGUGUGUGAAGAAGGCCCUAGGGUUGUGAAGCACUUUCAAUGGGGAGGAAAACGGCUAACUCCGUGCCAGCAGCCGCGGUAAUACGGAGGGUGCGAGCGUUAAUCGGAAUUACUGGGCGUAAAGCGUGCGUAGGCGGCUCGUUAAGUCAGAUGUGAAAGCCCUGGGCUCAACCUGGGAACUGCAUUUGAAACUGGCGAGCUAGAGUUGAGUAGAGGGGAGUGGAAUUUCAGGUGUAGCGGUGAAAUGCGUAGAUAUCUGAAGGAACACCAGUGGCGAAGGCGACUCCCUGGACUCAAACUGACGCUGAGGUACGAAAGCGUGGGUAGCAAACAGGAUUAGAUACCCUGGUAGUCCACGCUGUAAACGAUGUCAACUAGCCGUUGGUCCUAUUUACAGGAUUAGUGGCGCAGCUAACGCAUUAAGUUGACCGCCUGGGGAGUACGGCCGCAAG